RNAcentral lists this transfer RNA (65 nucleotides) under Aleyrodidae sp. JXCHN01. RNAcentral's name for it is "tRNA-Tyr". It matches the Rfam family "tRNA". Rfam says of the family: Transfer RNA (tRNA) molecules are approximately 80 nucleotides in length. Their secondary structure includes four short double-helical elements and three loops (D, anti-codon, and T loops). Further hydrogen bonds mediate the characteristic L-shaped molecular structure. tRNAs have two regions of fundamental functional importance: the anti-codon, which is responsible for specific mRNA codon recognition, and the 3' end, to which the tRNAs corresponding amino acid is attached (by aminoacyl-tRNA synthetases). tRNAs cope with the degeneracy of the genetic code in two manners: having more than one tRNA (with a specific anti-codon) for a particular amino acid; and 'wobble' base-pairing, i.e. permitting non-standard base-pairing at the 3rd anti-codon position. The record is from RNAcentral. Lineage: Eukaryota; Metazoa; Arthropoda; Insecta; Hemiptera; Aleyrodidae.
AAUAAAGUGCCUGAGUAAAGGAUUAAAUUGUAAAUUUAAAAACAGCGACAAACCGUUCUUUAUUA